CAAACAGCCAGCGCAUUGUCGCGGAAGAGCUCGUAAUGCUCGGGGUGUUGCAGCUCCAAAAGAUCGACGAGACUUGCGACUGUCCUCUGGGCGAUUUUGUCCGAAGCAUCAGCAUGGUUUGUCAUGGUGAAAACAAACUACACGGCUUAAUAAUAUCGAAACACUACAUGUGUUUGUUAGACCACUUAA
Molecule: long non-coding RNA, 189 nt
Organism: Selaginella moellendorffii
Lineage: Eukaryota; Viridiplantae; Streptophyta; Lycopodiopsida; Selaginellales; Selaginellaceae
Exons: 2
Source: RefSeq, a predicted model, not a curated record